CCAGCUUGAUACUCGGUUUCUCUUUUGUCAGCCACGUGGAGCCCAACUAUCUCACCCACAUACUCAACAACCUACAAAAACACAGGAUGCGCAUCCAACUGGAUGGGAGAGACAACAAACAUUAAGUGAAAGGCAUUCAUUCCUCGAUGAACUUGAUAUGCAUUAGAUGCAGAUGAGAGCGGGCUGUGCCAAAUACAUGCCAGUGGUUAUACCUUUCUGUUCUCUGUGCUCACCUCUCUCUCUCUCUCUCUCUCUCUCUCUCUAACUAUUUUAUCCCUCUCUCCUUCUCUAACUUCAUUAACAGGCAAAUAGGAUUGCGUGCUAGCUGACUUGCAUUCUGGCAAGCAACCUUUCUGAAUAUGAAUAAUCAAGUAUGUACUUGGAUCUAAACCAGUUAUGGUUCAAGUGUAUGCUAUGUAAAGGACAGUGCACAACUGGAAUUGACU
Non-coding RNA from Coffea arabica (coffee), 446 nucleotides. The record is from RefSeq and is a predicted model, not a curated record. Lineage: Eukaryota; Viridiplantae; Streptophyta; Magnoliopsida; Gentianales; Rubiaceae.